This 982-nucleotide ribosomal RNA is filed under the name Salmonella enterica. RNAcentral describes it as "bacterial SSU rRNA". It matches the Rfam family "Bacterial small subunit ribosomal RNA", at positions 200 to 1178 of the family's 1533-position model. The record is from RNAcentral. Lineage: Bacteria; Pseudomonadati; Pseudomonadota; Gammaproteobacteria; Enterobacterales; Enterobacteriaceae.
CCUUCGGGCCUCUUGCCAUCAGAUGUGCCCAGAUGGGAUUAGCUAGUUGGUGAGGUAACGGCUCACCAAGGCGACGAUCCCUAGCUGGUCUGAGAGGAUGACCAGCCACACUGGAACUGAGACACGGUCCAGACUCCUACGGGAGGCAGCAGUGGGGAAUAUUGCACAAUGGGCGCAAGCCUGAUGCAGCCAUGCCGCGUGUAUGAAGAAGGCCUUCGGGUUGUAAAGUACUUUCAGCGGGGAGGAAGGUGUUGUGGUUAAUAACCGCAGCAAUUGACGUUACCCGCAGAAGAAGCACCGGCUAACUCCGUGCCAGCAGCCGCGGUAAUACGGAGGGUGCAAGCGUUAAUCGGAAUUACUGGGCGUAAAGCGCACGCAGGCGGUCUGUCAAGUCGGAUGUGAAAUCCCCGGGCUCAACCUGGGAACUGCAUUCGAAACUGGCAGGCUUGAGUCUUGUAGAGGGGGGUAGAAUUCCAGGUGUAGCGGUGAAAUGCGUAGAGAUCUGGAGGAAUACCGGUGGCGAAGGCGGCCCCCUGGACAAAGACUGACGCUCAGGUGCGAAAGCGUGGGGAGCAAACAGGAUUAGAUACCCUGGUAGUCCACGCCGUAAACGAUGUCUACUUGGAGGUUGUGCCCUUGAGGCGUGGCUUCCGGAGCUAACGCGUUAAGUAGACCGCCUGGGGAGUACGGCCGCAAGGUUAAAACUCAAAUGAAUUGACGGGGGCCCGCACAAGCGGUGGAGCAUGUGGUUUAAUUCGAUGCAACGCGAAGAACCUUACCUGGUCUUGACAUCCACAGAACUUUCCAGAGAUGGAUUGGUGCCUUCGGGAACUGUGAGACAGGUGCUGCAUGGCUGUCGUCAGCUCGUGUUGUGAAAUGUUGGGUUAAGUCCCGCAACGAGCGCAACCCUUAUCCUUUGUUGCCAGCGGUUAGGCCGGGAACUCAAAGGAGACUGCCAGUGAUAAACUGGAGGAAGGUGGGG